CCUACGGGUGGCAGCAGUGGGGAAUAUUGGGCAAUGGGCGCAAGCCUGACCCAGCAACGCCGCGUGAAGGAAGAAUGCUUUCGGGUUGUAAACUUCUUUUCUCAGGGACGAAGCAAGUGAAGGUACCCGAGGAAUAAGCCACGGCUAACGACGUGCCAGCCGCCGGGGUAAUACGGAGGUGGCAAGCUUUAUCCGGAUUUACUGGGGGUAAAGGGCGUGUAGGCGGGACUGCAAGGCAGAUGUGAAAACCACGGGCUCAACCUGUGGCCUGCAUUUGAAACUGUAGUUCUUGAGUACUGGAGAGGCAGACGGAAUGCCUAGUGUAGCGGUGAAAUGCGUAGAUAUUAGGAGGAACACCAGUGGCGAAGGCGGUCUGCUGGAGAGCAACUGACGCUGAGGCGCGAAAGCGUGGGGAGCGAACAGGAUUAGAUACCCCUGUAGUC
RNAcentral lists this ribosomal RNA (443 nucleotides) under uncultured bacterium. Its description in RNAcentral is "partial 16S ribosomal RNA". It matches the Rfam family "Bacterial small subunit ribosomal RNA", at positions 338 to 795 of the family's 1533-position model. The record is from RNAcentral.